AGAGUUUGAUCAUGGCUCAGGAUGAGCGCUAGCUACAGGCCUAACACGAUGCAAGUCGAGGGAAACGAUAUUGGAAGCUUGCUUCCGAUAGGCGUCGACCGGCGUACGGGUGAGUAACGCGUAUCCAACCUGCCCACCACUUGGGGAUAACCUUGCGAAAGUAAGACUAAUACCCAAUGACGUCUCUAGAAGACAUCUGAAAGAGAUUAAAGAUUUAUCGGUGAUGGAUGGGGAUGCGUCUGAUUAGCUUGUUGGCGGGGUAACGGCCCACCAAGGCGACGAUCAGUAGGGGUUCUGAGAGGAAGGCCCCCCACAUUGGAACUGAGACACGGUCCAAACUCCUACGGGAGGCAGCA
This 356-nucleotide ribosomal RNA is filed under the name uncultured bacterium. RNAcentral describes it as "bacterial SSU rRNA". It matches the Rfam family "Bacterial small subunit ribosomal RNA", at positions 8 to 353 of the family's 1533-position model. The record is from RNAcentral.